This 485-nucleotide ribosomal RNA is filed under the name Torresitrachia torresiana. RNAcentral describes it as "partial 12S ribosomal RNA". The record is from RNAcentral. Lineage: Eukaryota; Metazoa; Mollusca; Gastropoda; Stylommatophora; Camaenidae.
GUCAUACUUUAACAGCCGGGAAACUUAUUGGCAUUCAUCACAGUUAAAUAGUUAUUAAUGGUGAAAUAUUAAAACUGUUACUUUUAACUCUGUGUAAUUUAUAAUAAACAUCGCACGUCAACAAGGAUUAGAGACCCUUCUACACAGAUGCACAUAAAGUAAUGCUGAGUACUAAAAUCCUCUGGGUUAAAACUCAAAUAGAAUGGCGGUAAUUCAUAUUCAGGGGAACUUACCCCUUAAAUGACAACCACCAAGGUUUGGUAACUACUAGUCAUUCUUGUAUGCCGUCGUCGUCAGGUUUCAUUUAAUAUGUGACCACAAAUUUAUUCAAUUAAAAGACAGAUCAAGGUGCAGACUAUCUCGUAGGUGGGGCGAGUUACAAUUACUUUUUAUAGUAGAAAGCCGUUUUAAAAACUUCUUGAAAGAGGACUUGACAGUAAUUGAUAUUAUUAUUAUCCUGUGAAUUUUUUUUGAAUUGUGCACAA